AGGCUAAGGCACGAUAAUUGCUUGAACCUGGGAAGCUGAGGCUGCAGUGAGCUGAGAUAGCGUCACUGCACUCCAGCCAGGACGACAGAGUGAGACUCUGUCACAAAAACAAAAAAGAACCCCCCAAAAAACAGCUCACACCAAAAAAGUUGAAAGGGCAUGAGCUAUAAAGGAAAGCCCUUCCCAAGAGCAGUUAGUCACUUGCCACCCUAAUGUCAGACUCUCAGACUCUAAACACCUGCCCCAGAGAGUUCUCACACAAGCAUAUGGCAAUAGCUGCUGAGCAGCUUUGAAUCUUUCAGUGUUGUGAGGUGCGAAAGGCUGUGCCUGUCAAUUUUUGCAGUACUUAGAGCCUUAAGCACUGUUUUCCUCCAUUCCCAUCCCUACCAUAAUACUGACUGAAGCUUGUUACCUUCCUCCAGGUCAUCCUGGCCCGGCAGUAUGGCUCCGAGGGCAGGUUCACUUUCACUUCCCAUACCCCUGGCGAGCACCAGAUCUGUCUUCACUCCAAUUCCACCAAGUUCUCCCUCUUUGCUGGAGGCAUGCUGAGAGUUCACCUGGACAUCCAGGUAGGUGAACAUGCCAACGACUAUGCAGAAAUUGCUGCUAAAGACAAGUUGAGUGAGUUGCAGCUACGAGUGCGACAGCUGGUGGAACAAGUGGAGCAGAUCCAGAAAGAGCAGAACUACCAGCGGUGGCGAGAGGAGCGCUUCCGGCAGACCAGUGAGAGCACCAACCAGCGGGUGCUGUGGUGGUCCAUUCUGCAGACCCUCAUCCUCGUGGCCAUCGGUGUCUGGCAGAUGCGGCACCUCAAG
Molecule: small RNA, 815 nt
Filed under: Pan troglodytes (chimpanzee)
Lineage: Eukaryota; Metazoa; Chordata; Mammalia; Primates; Hominidae
Description: retained intron
Source: RNAcentral